Molecule: long non-coding RNA, 401 nt
Organism: Papilio machaon (common yellow swallowtail)
Lineage: Eukaryota; Metazoa; Arthropoda; Insecta; Lepidoptera; Papilionidae
Exons: 3
Source: RefSeq, a predicted model, not a curated record
CGGCCCGGGCGCCAGUCGCUCGCAACACGCGGUCGGCGCAGGUCGCGUUUAUUCGUUUCGCGCCGCGCUCUCUACGCCGCCCGCCCUAAGUCACGGUGUCGCGAUCGGGUGCACUCCCUCACACCCUGCAACGGUAUUGGCGCACUAGGCGGCCUGCACACAUGCACUUUUCAUUCAUCCCGGAGGCGGCCGCGGGUCGGGAUCGCUUCGCUCUUGGUUCCGUCUUAUCAAUCGCCGUACGUCUUUAUGAGGCAGUGACCCUGAAGCUGAAGCGACUUGUGUAGUAUCGAAGUGAUCUACCCGAACUGAUUGUGGUCAAGUGAACUAUUGAAAACAAUACCUUCUCUAACUGUAAAAUAAUAUUGUGAGAAGUUUCAACCGACGAUUUUGAAAAUUCAGCG